UACGUAGGCAGCAAGCGUUGUUCGGAGUUACUGGGCGUAAAGGGUGCGUAGGCGGUUGUUUAAGUUUGGUGUGAAAUCUCCCGGCUCAACUGGGAGGGUGCGCCGAAUACUGAAUGACUAGAGUGCGGGAGAGGAGAGUGGAAUUCCUGGUGUAGCGGUGAAAUGCGUAGAUAUCAGGAGGAACACCGGUGGUGUAGACGGCUUUCUGGACCGUAACUGACGCUGAGACACGAAAGCGUGGGUAGCAAACAGG
Molecule: ribosomal RNA, 253 nt
Filed under: uncultured bacterium
Lineage: Bacteria
Description: partial 16S ribosomal RNA
Rfam family: Bacterial small subunit ribosomal RNA
Source: RNAcentral